This 75-nucleotide transfer RNA is filed under the name Flavobacterium anhuiense. RNAcentral's name for it is "tRNA-His". The record is from RNAcentral. Lineage: Bacteria; Pseudomonadati; Bacteroidota; Flavobacteriia; Flavobacteriales; Flavobacteriaceae.
GUGGUUGUAGCUCAGCUGGUUAGAGUAGCGGUUUGUGGUGCCGCGGUUGUCGCGAUUCGAACCCGGUCAGCCACC